Molecule: non-coding RNA, 1764 nt
Organism: Equus caballus (horse)
Lineage: Eukaryota; Metazoa; Chordata; Mammalia; Perissodactyla; Equidae
Source: RefSeq, a predicted model, not a curated record
CAGACCUGCAGAAGUGGGUCAGGACAGGACUGAGCAUGCUCGGGGCAGUGCCAGGCUGCCGCACGCGGGUGCAUCUCGUUGCCCAAGGUUGAUGGAGCUGCGCUCGCUCAUCACGACAUCGAAGGUAAAACUCCAGAUGAUGGAGGCCCCGUCUCAUGGUCUUGCAGCUUGUGCAUGAGGAUCUUAUCCUUCCUAUAGCCUGGUGUUCCAUGGGGGCCCGUGUAGCUGGACCUCCACAUGCUGACUUACUCAGGGGUGAGGAUACAGCCAGAAGGCAGCCUCCUGCAAGCCAGGAAGAGAGCUCUCACCAGAACCCAGCCAUGCUGGCACCCUGAUCUUUGACUUCCCAGCCUAUAGAACUAAACCCAAGAAGACAUUAAUUAAUGUUGUAACUUACAAAAUGAACACAUGCACCAAAAAAUAGAAUUGAUAUCUAGUGUUACUCUGAAGAAAAUAUUGUACUCACCACAUCCAUCUCUUCAGGAGAAGCCAGCGAGUAGGACACUCUAAAGUAAGGGCAAGGAGCUGAACUAUCAAUGAAGAAAACAUUUCCAGGAGUUACUAAUACCUAAGAGAGUUUAUGGAAAAAAGUGAAUUACCAUUAAAGAAAAACUGAAAAAAAAAAGGUUGAAGAGCAAGAAGAUGGAAGGAACCAGGGUCUCUGAAUGACUGCUUGGAGUAGAGUUGCCUGCAGAUCACAUCUUUGAAAAUUUUAUUUCCUGUGACUACUGGAGAUCAAUAGAGAGAAAAGGUCAAUAUUCAUAUUCAUAAUUAAACUGGCAUUUUAAGACAAGUGGAAUACAAGCAUCUUAAAUGAAAAGAAUUGUUUGGACUAGAAGAUACUGAGGUUUAAAGCGGGAACCAAAUCCAAGGAUAUAUUCUCUGCAGUCUUGAGAGCAAAUAAAGAUAGCAUUUGACUUUGAGGAAUCAGGCAUUGGGAGUCUGUACCACUACUAUUGUCUAUUAGGAAACAGUGAUCAUGAAAAGUGGUGUAUAUAGUGAGGAGGAAGCUAAAAACCCAUUAUUCUGCAGGUAAGAUCCAGGACCUAAAUGACAGGGAUGGCAAAUAGGUGGCAUGCUGCUAGUAACACCUUUUCCUAUGUCCAUAAUGGACAUCACUAAUUGAGCCCUCUUUCUCUUUCAGCUUGAACACAGAUUCCAAAUCCUUCUCAGACAUCAUUCCAGUCAGCCACUACCAAGAGACUGAAGUUGACACCCAAGAGGAAACCCAGUUCAUCUUGAACCAAGAAGCCUUUAAUAAUUUACAGACACUCCAUAAAUUGUCCUUUAUCAUUGGAAGAAGACCAGCUAAGGAAAGUCUUAAGGUAUGUGUUCCAGCUUGCUUUUAAGAAAUUAAAGGCAUCUGCACUGAGGCCAAAUAGCUGCCUGCAACUAUUAGGGGAACACAAUUAUUAGACAAUUGCCCUGGGACUUAAAAUUGCUGCUUCCUGGAUCAUCUGUUUCCUCCUCUCUACUAAGCUGCUUCUUUACCUAGCUGUCUCAUUUCUUCCAGUCUCAGCUCCAAUGGUACUUCCUUCUAGAAGCUUUCUCUGACUAGCCCAGUAGUUUAAGAUCUACAAGCAGUUACUGAGGAGUGUUACAUAUUUAAUAUCCCUGUUGCUCUCAAUUAUUCUUUGAAAACUCUUCCCCAAACCUUCCUACCUGUUGUAUAUGCAGUUAAAAGAGACACAAGUCACUUUGUCACUUUAUCAAUGGGCCUUAGAAUAUUGCUUAUGAAAAUGAACUAACAAAAUGAUCUGUUGA